UACGUAGGGGGCAAGCGUUGUCCGGAAUCAUUGGGCGUAAAGCGCGUGUAGGCGGCCCGGUAAGUCCGCUGUGAAAGUCGGGGGCUCAACCCUCGAAUGCCGGUGGAUACUGUCGGGCUAGAGUGCGGAAGAGGCGAGUGGAAUUCCUGGUGUAGCGGUGAAAUGCGCAGAUAUCAGGAGGAACACCAAUUGCGAAGGCAGCUCGCUGGGACGUGACUGACGCUGAGACGCGAAAGCGUGGGGAGCGAACAGG
This 253-nucleotide ribosomal RNA is filed under the name uncultured bacterium. Its description in RNAcentral is "partial 16S ribosomal RNA". It matches the Rfam family "Bacterial small subunit ribosomal RNA", at positions 524 to 776 of the family's 1533-position model. The record is from RNAcentral.